This 484-nucleotide ribosomal RNA is filed under the name uncultured bacterium. RNAcentral describes it as "partial 16S ribosomal RNA". It matches the Rfam family "Bacterial small subunit ribosomal RNA", at positions 30 to 507 of the family's 1533-position model. The record is from RNAcentral.
AUUGAACGCUGGCGGCAGGCCUAACACAUGCAAGUCGAGCGGCUGCAGGGUGCUUGCUCCUGGUUUCAGCGGCGGACGGGUGAGUGAUGCCUAGGAACCUCCCUGGUAGUGGGGGCUAACGUCCGGACACGGGCGCUAAUACCCCAUACCUCCUGAGGGCGUACGUGGGGGAUCUUCGGAUCUUCCGCUCUCAGAUGAGCCGAGGUCGGAUUAGCUAGUUGGGGGGGUAAAGGCCUACCAAGGCGACGAUCCGUAACUGGUCUGAGAGGAUGAUCAGCCACACUGGAACUGAGACACGGUCCAGACUCCUACGGGAGGCAGCAGUGGGGAAUAUUGGACAAUGGGCGAAAGCCUGAUCCAGCCAUGCCGCGUGUGUGAAGAAGGUCUUCGGAUUGUAAAGCACUUUUAGUUGGGAGGAAGAGCAGUAAGUUAAUACCUUGCUGUUUUGACGUUACCAACAGAAUAAGCACCGGCUAACUUCGUG